This is a non-coding RNA of Paramuricea clavata, 314 nucleotides long. The record is from the annotation of a GenBank genome assembly. Lineage: Eukaryota; Metazoa; Cnidaria; Anthozoa; Malacalcyonacea; Plexauridae.
GGUUAAUUUAUCUUUGACUUAUUUAUAAUUUUGUUAGUUUCACUAAAAUUACGUACGACUUAAUGCUGUUUUGAGCGGACGAUUGUAAGAUGUGGAAUUAUGAUUAAAAUUUACCAUGCAGCAAUCUGAUCAGGUAGAGUUCAAAUCUCGUCAUUCCUGUCAUUCCCAUUCUUGUCAGAGUUAUCUUUUUUCAUGUCAUCCAUGGUCUCUAAGGUUGGUAUACCUUUGGUUUCUGGUAAAAAUAAUCCAAGUACAGCUGCUUGAAGACAUAUUGCUCCCAUUAUGCUGUAUGGUAGUGCCGCAUGAAUGCGAAU